Long non-coding RNA from Ipomoea nil (Japanese morning glory), 229 nucleotides. RefSeq lists it as uncharacterized. The record is from RefSeq and is a predicted model, not a curated record. NCBI's taxonomy places the organism in Eukaryota, Viridiplantae, Streptophyta, Magnoliopsida, Solanales, Convolvulaceae. The transcript is spliced from 2 exons.
CUUGGAUUUCCCUUGUCAGCCAACUGUAAAGUUGAUGAGCAGGCUGACGAUACUUGUGCAACUUCCAGUAUCGCAUUACCUUCAAUUUGUCAGCCAGAAUACCUGCUUCGGUGUAAUAGCACUGUAAUCUAUACUUGUGAAGUUUCGUGAAAAAUGCACUGACUCACAUGUCAAAGGGAAAGUGAAUAUGUUAAUGAUUUUCAAAUAGCCAAACAGAAGACUGAUUUUU